RNAcentral lists this ribosomal RNA (1449 nucleotides) under metagenome. Its description in RNAcentral is "bacterial LSU rRNA". It matches the Rfam family "Bacterial large subunit ribosomal RNA", at positions 1484 to 2925 of the family's 2925-position model. The record is from RNAcentral.
AGCUCAGCCAACUGUUGGAUAUGUUGGUUCAAGCCUGUAGUCUUGCCUGGUAGGCAAAUCCGCCGGGCUUAGAUGAGGGGUGAUAACGAGUCUGCUUGCAGACGAAGUGAGUGAUACCCUGCUUCCAGGAAAAGCCACUAAGCUUCAGCUAUUGACGACCGUACCGCAAACCGACACUGGUGCGCGAGAUGAGUAUUCUAAGGCGCUUGAGAGAACUCUGGAGAAGGAACUCGGCAAAUUGAUACCGUAACUUCGGGAGAAGGUAUGCCCCAAGUAGGUGAACCUGUACAAGGCGAGCCCAAAGGGGUUGCAAAAAAUCGGUGGCUGCGACUGUUUAAUAAAAACACAGCACUCUGCAAACACGAAAGUGGACGUAUAGGGUGUGACGCCUGCCCGGUGCUGGAAGAUUAAAUGAUGGGGUGCAAGCUCUUGAUUGAAGUCCCAGUAAACGGCGGCCGUAACAAUAACGGUCCUAAGGUAGCGAAAUUCCUUGUCGGGUAAGUUCCGACCUGCACGAAUGGCGUAACGAUGGCCACACUGUCUCCUCCAGAGACUCAGCGAAGUUGAAAUGUUUGUGAUGAUGCAAUCUACCCGCGGAAAGACGGAAAGACCCCAUGAACCUUUACUGUAGCUUUGUAUUGGACUUUGAACAGAUCUGUGUAGGAUAGGUGGGAGGCUUUGAAGCGUGGUCGCUAGAUCAUGUGGAGCCAACGUUGAAAUACCACCCUGGUGUGUUUGAGGUUCUAACCUAGGUCCAUUAUCUGGAUCGGGGACAGUGCAUGGUAGGCAGUUUGACUGGGGCGGUCUCCUCCCAAAGCGUAACGGAGGAGUUCGAAGGUACGCUAGUUACGGUCGGACAUCGUGACGAUAGUGCAAUGGCAUAAGCGUGCUUAACUGCGAGACUGACAAGUCGAGCAGAUGCGAAAGCAGGACAUAGUGAUCCGGUGGUUCUGUAUGGAAGGGCCAUCGCUCAACGGAUAAAAGGUACUCUGGGGAUAACAGGCUGAUACCGCCCAAGAGUUCAUAUCGACGGCGGUGUUUGGCACCUCGAUGUCGGCUCAUCUCAUCCUGGGGCUGUAGCCGGUCCCAAGGGUAUGGCUGUUCGCCAUUUAAAGAGGUACGUGAGCUGGGUUUAAAACGUCGUGAGACAGUUUGGUCCCUAUCUUCCGUGGGCGCUGCAGAUUUGAGGAAGCCUGCUCCUAGUACGAGAGGACCGGAGUGGACACACCUCUGGUGUACCGGUUGUCACGCCAGUGGCAUCGCCGGGUAGCUAAGUGUGGAAGAGAUAACCGCUGAAAGCAUCUAAGCGGGAAACUCGUUUCAAGAUGAGAUCUGCCGGGGGCUCGACCCCCCUGAAGAGUCGUUCUAGACCAGGACGUUGAUAGGCUGGGUGUGGAAGCGCAGCAAUGCGUUAAGCUAACCAGUACUAAUUGCUCGUGCGGCUUGAUC